AGUGAACGCUGGCGGUAGGCCUAACACAUGCAAGUCGAACGGCAGCACAGUAAGAGCUUGCUCUUACGGGUGGCGAGUGGCGGACGGGUGAGGAAUACAUCGGAAUCUACUUUUUCGUGGGGGAUAACGUAGGGAAACUUACGCUAAUACCGCAUACGACCUACGGGUGAAAGCAGGGGAUCUUCGGACCUUGCGCGAUUGAAUGAGCCGAUGUCGGAUUAGCUAGUUGGCGGGGUAAAGGCCCACCAAGGCGACGAUCCGUAGCUGGUCUGAGAGGAUGAUCAGCCACACUGGAACUGAGACACGGUCCAGACUCCUACGGGAGGCAGCAGUGGGGAAUAUUGGACAAUGGGCGAAAGCCUGACCCAGCCAUACCGCGUGGGUGAAGAAGGCCUUCGGGUUGUAAAGCCCUUUUGUUGGGAAAGAAAAGCAGCAGGUUAAUACCCCGCUGUUCUGACGGUACCCAAAGAAUAAGCACCGGCUAACUUCGUG
This 492-nucleotide ribosomal RNA is filed under the name uncultured bacterium. RNAcentral's name for it is "partial 16S ribosomal RNA". It matches the Rfam family "Bacterial small subunit ribosomal RNA", at positions 29 to 507 of the family's 1533-position model. The record is from RNAcentral.